AGUGUAGCUUAAGUAGCAACAAAUGUUAAUGCCAGAGUUUACUUUAGCCAUUCAAAAUAUUUCAAAAAUUAGUUAUUUGUGUGAAGAUGACGCUUGCUUUUCUGAAACAUAACCCCCACUAUAGCUUCAUCCUGUACUUAUUUUCUGGCUCACAAAACACGUUAUUCCCUCCGAUUUCAUCUGGAGGCAGGCAAAAGAGGGCAAGCCUUUUUGAUUUCUCUGAGGGGUUCUGAAUAAAUGAAUAAAUUUAGAUGCCAUAGAAUACAGAUUUUGCAUACUAACAGAUAAAACACAUGGUUACAACUGGAUGCAAGUCUUUUUAAAAUUUGUUUUGACAUAUGUCAAGACGGUAAUUAAUUUCCAGGCCCUUCUCCUAGCCCAGCAUGUGACCCUUCUGAGAUAACUUUGUUUACUCAAAAUAGCAGGACUUUGUCAGAAAUUUAAUUGGGGUCCUUUUUACUAUGUAUAUUCAUAAAUGAUCCUUCAGAACUGAUUUCAGUUGAAAUAUUGCUUUUUUGGAGUAUCUGUCCAAUAGAAUGAGAAAAAUUAUUGCCAAAUGAAAUGUGGUUUCUCUUCAAAAUGAAACAAAUAAUAGGUGAUCUGUUUAAAAAAAACAAAACAAAAAACCCUAUCCAUUUAACACAACGUUAAGACUAUCACAUUUUGUGACACUAAAUAUCGCUCUUUGCAGUGAAGUGUCCAUUUGAUAGUCUGAGUAAAAGCAGCAUAUUGAACUCUUAGCUGGAAAUGUUGUAAAGCUGAAACUUUUUCUGGGCGUUCCCCUCCCCUCCCCCUACAUACUUUUAGAAUGCAUUUCUUCCUUCCUUCAGUAGAAGGUCGUCUAUAAAAGCCUGUGUUAAUUCAUUAGAUACCUCCAUGUGUUCCCUCUAUUGUAUGCACACAGUAACUUUUAAUUCUAGCUGAAUCUGAUGUUUAUGGAAUCUCUUUGCAUGCUUCAGACUUUGCUUGCACAAAGCCAUUUUAGUUACAGAAGAAAGGGAGUUUCAGUAUGUGGGCUUCAGUGUUGGAUUUUUUUUUAUAGGGCCUAACAAACUGAUUAGCUUCAAUGGAGGAGCAGAGUGGAGAACUGAGCCACUACUUAAAACUCACUCCUAACUCGGGGCAGGUGGCUAGUACAUGAGUCUCUCCCUACCCCUUUGGUUUCCACAAAGUUCUCAUUCCCCUUUUAGUGUCUCUUCCCUCUCAAACCCCAUUUCCUAUUGGUACCUACAUCUUCCUCCAUUUUGCUUCUAUCUGUCUUUGAGCUGACCCCAGAACCCAAAGGAGAUUAGGUGCAUUGCAAUUGUGGGUCUGUUCCUCCACACAUGCACUAGCAAUACUAACACCAGCCUGAAAGACACAUGCUCAUGCUCCCGGAAGAGAGCUGCUGGGCUAGAGCACAAGGAGGGCUGGACUACAUGAUUGCUCAAUGAGACUUUCCUGUCUGGAUAAGUGGCAGGAUGCAGAAGGCUGUGAGAAGAAGUGGAAUUCUCAUGACGUCAUUUCCAAGUGAGAAAGACACUUUAUAGGGUGGUAGUACACCAUUUUGUAGAAAGUAGAUUGCGCUAGUGAGAGAGGGUGUGAAUUAUCCACUUUCCCCAACACCGAAAAAUGUGUUCACAAAGACUAGCAAUCUUACAGCAAGGCAGGAGAAAAUAUCCAUUAUAAGGUCUCCAAAAUUUCUUAAUUUACUACUUCUGCUGAGACUACAUAAGCAAACUGAGCCAGAGUUUUAAUUCCUGCAUAAUUCAUUUUAUUAACUAUGACCAAGUAGAACAUCUGUUAAAAUUCCAUAAUGUUAAGUUCAUGGGAAAAACAGAGCAAACCCUGAGUUCUCCUUGGAAUUUUUCCAUUUACAUUAAUGAUACAGCUUUCUAACGAUGUCUUAAAUGAACAUUGCUAUCAAUGAGACUAUGACACAAUUGAAAAUGAAGCACCUUGUCAAAUCUCGCUGUUUACCAUAGCUCACUGUGUAAUGAAUGAUUUCACUCCACGCAUCUCUGUGCGUGUAUAUGGUAGCUUCACAGUAGCAAUGCCAUAGUUAAGGUUGAAAUGUCACUUUUGUUGUGAAUUACUGCAAGUGCUUGGAAAAUGCAAAGUGCUAAUUUAAAAAAGCCCAAUAAUUUGUCACUUCUAAACAUAUUACAGCUGGAUUGAAAUUUUUUUAUGCUUGUCCCAGCCCAGGAGUGAACUGAAGAAGAAAUAGAAAGGUGUUUUUCAGCUCUUGGCAGGGUUUUUUGCUCACUGAUAACCUGAUAGAAGCUUUGCUUUAAAAGAUUAAGCCUAGCAUUUGAAUGGUCGUGAAUAAACAUGCACUUUAGCCUUGUCUGAGGAAACUUGGGCUCCCAUCCUGCAAUGGGCUCUGGCGGGUGGAUGUGACCUAUUGAAGUCAAAGCCACGGUCCCUGAGCAGAGCUAAUUGCGGGAUCAGGGCCUUCGUGUCAAAGUAAAAACACUGGGGGUUUGGAUCUAGUCAUGGACUGAUGACUGGAUUCAAACCUUUAGGAAGGUCUUUACCUUCAGGAAGAUGGAUCAGAGUGUUACCUCAGAUGGUGCUUAAAGUAGCCAAGAGUGCAAAUGAGUAAAGGCAGUAGCCAGCUUGUUACUGGAAGGGGAGAGGACAUUUCAGCUGUAUCCCUUCUGAGAGAGUGAACCAGUUAUGAGGAAAUCUUGACAUCUUAGAUGGCAGCCCGCGCCCUAAGAAACACAAUUUUGCUGGAGCUGUUGGCUAUCAUAAAUACUUUGUAGUAUGUGGCAAUACGUAUACACAAGGGGGCUGUGAGAACUUGCCAUGUUUUGAGAGGAGAAAGCUAAGAAAAGCAACAACAAAAAGCCCCUAAAUAUCUUAUUACCUGGCAGCAAGUGAGGUGCAACCUGUAGCAGUUAGAAGUUAAAUGACCCCCUAACAGCUGCACCUGUUACUCCCUCCCAAAUUUAAAGUCCCAACUCCCAGAGCAUUCUGGGAAAGGCUUGUAUAAAAGGGUGAAACUCAAGGGAGGCAUUUAGAAAGUGGGGGAUCUCUUAGGCAGUGGGCUAGAAUUUCUGAGGGUUAGUGGCUGUAUACUGUAUAUAGAAAACAGUCAGCUUUGUUUGCAAGUGAAUCCUACUUUGCUACGUAAUGGAUGUAGCUGUGUGUGUGUUCCUUUUGUUAUGAUAUCUUGAUAUAAAUAUCCUGGUCUCCUUGGCUCUGAGUUUUUUAGGUUUAUUGCUACAAGGUAGAACAAGGUUGCUGACGGAGUCUUCUCUGACUUGUGCAAUUAAAAUGUUGACCUUGGUCUUUCAUCUUUGUAUAGCUUUUUGUGUAUUUAAUAGCCACAGGAUACACACACCUUAGCAGAAUCAGGCAAAUAAUCCAGUUUCUUAACACAACACUUGUUUGAAAAACCAAACAUAACGUUCUCUAAGAAAAUGCACACAAUUAGCUGUCUUCACUUUGUUUUCUGGGAAACCACCUGUUUGUUUUUUGUUUGUUUGUUUGUUUUUCCCUCAUGAAGCUCUUAACAUGCUGGAUUUAAGCAGAAAUUUCCUUUUUUAGGCUAUAAAGAGAACUGCUCAGGAUCUGUCUAGAAUGGUUCACUUUGCAUGACUGACGCUUUAGACUUUUGUCAGGCAACCAGAGUUUCUUAAACUGAAGAGUAUUUUCAACUAGCACCAAAACACUAACUGAGACAGGAUUGGGAACUGGAAGACAAGUUAGAAAGCCAGUCCAACAUUUGUGGGAAAUGUGCCCAAGUUUUGUGGUGUGCUUAAUGAAAUAUCCAUUAGGGCUAGGUUGAAAAAUAAGUUUUGUUGGAAGGUGUCUAUACUGCCCUACUGUACUCCUUAAUCGCUUCCUCCCUUUCAGUUUAACACCAUACUAUUUUGAAAAGCGUUAUCUCUGGAGUGCAUUAGCUCUUGGGUAGAACACUUGUGUGUUUCUAUCUCCCUAUGAUAGCAAGAGAAUUUCAUUUUAAAGGGUCCUUAAGUACUUGAGGCAAUUCUCCAGGGUGAAAUAGGGAGGCUAGUCUCCAUAGUUCAGGGUCCAGUGGCCUUGUGCUCUAAUAUAUUUUGGAAACUCACUUUCUAGAUUGCAAGCUGGAAAAUUGGUAAAUGGAGCUAUCAAUCAUUUAUUUUUGCAUUAUAUACAGUGUAGUUAUUACACUUUAUUUAGGCACACUAGAAUAACAUUUAAAAACAAAAAUAGAUGUCUAAAAAGUAAUUGAAAUAACAUCCAAAGUCCACGAAAUAACCCUGUUUUUUUUGUAAUUGAUCAGUAUGAAUAAACAGGCCAUGUGACAUGCUUGGAAGGUCAACAGACUUUGGUUUGGAUGAACCAAGGCAAAAAAGUGAAAAUGUCCUGUAUCUCACACGUACAGAUACAUGACUCAUCACCCUAACUGUGCCAGGUCCUCUUGCCUAUCUAGUUGAAUGCACCUUCUUUUUAUAGUUAGGUGCUAGACACAUGUGUAUAAGUGUAUAACAUGGUCCAUUGGUAGAGCAGGAGAAAUGAAGUCCUGGAUUCAUGAUUCUGCCACCAAUUUGCUGUUUAAUGUUGGACAUGGGGCACUUUUCUGCACUGCCUCAUGUCUGUAAUGUGUGACCCUGUAAUAUCUCUGAAUGCAAGGGGCUCUGUAUAUGCAAAAUUAUACUGUAUUUAAAAUCUAAAGUGUUGCAUCUGGACUCUGUGGAUAGGCAAGAUAUGUUGAAAACUGUGUAUUUAGGGCACACAAGAUUUAAUAAUGCAAAUCCUUUUCAAAAGAAUGUGGAUGUGGGUGGGGUCUGGCGGGAAGCCUAUUUGAUUUCAUGCUUCAGAUAGGGGGAACGGAGACUUUUAAAAGGGAGCUUAAUAAGGCAUUUUGCAGACAGCACUUUCUGCAAUAAUCAUGAACACAGAAACGAGUUCCAGCCAUGUGCUAGGAUCCAGAAACGGAGCAGGAGGCACCUGCUAUGCUGUGCUCUAGUUUGCUCAUGCUGUAACUUCUAAUAACCUAGUUCUUGACAUUGUUGGUGUGUUCUUGGCAUUGGUUGCUCUUGAUCCCACAAGUUUGGCAGCCACUCAGAGAAUACACUCUCAGCCAUCAUAAUGUCUGGUGGGGAAACUUAAUGCGAGUCCCUCCCCCCCAAAUAAAAUUGCAUGUGACAAGGCUCACUAUGUUCUAGUUAAUUUCUCUUGUAGGAGAGUGUGCUAAAAAGACAAGUCCAAGACAAGGUCCUUUGCCGUAACAAUCUGGGAUGUUAAAACAUAUAACACAGAGAAGUGCAGACACAGAGAGAUGGAUUUCCCUUGUUUCGGGGGGGUGAACCUGAAAGAGUUGUGCAUAGGUAGAAAGAAGGAAUCUUGAAGACUAAAAGCUUCCGUAUUUUGCUGCAAUCUCUACUCUUGGGGAAAUUCUGUGCUACUGCGUGCGUGCAUAUUUAAUGUGCCCCGUAGAUUUUUAAUUUUUCACGCAGAAAAAAGCUUCUGCCAAAAUGUUGCUGCAGUUCCGCCUUUUGCCUUCCAGAGGGCGCUGUGGCAAUAGAACAAAGGUGCAGCUCCCUGCCAGGGAGGAAGGAGAGAGGUGCCUUAGCAGCUUGUCAGGCCAGGUCAGGAGACCAGGUCUGUGGGGUGCUGGGGGAGGGGGGGUCAGACAGGGGCUCAUGAGGGCUAGUGGGGGGAGGACAGACUGGGGCAGGGACUGACAGGGAGUGGAGGCACAGGGCCAUGGGGGGAGGGUGGUGUAGAGAUACAUGGGGACAGUGGGAGUGGGGGGCAGAGCUACAUAGGGGCAGGGGAGUGGCUGGGUGAGGGCACAGAGACACAUGGUACGGGGCAGAUGUCUCUGUGUGUGAGAUUAUAUAUUAUUUGAAGCACAUAUGUACAAUAUCUGUGUUUACAACACAUACCUUUAAAAAAAAAAAAAGCACUUUGAGAUCCAUAGGGGUGAAACAUCCUGUACAAAUGUAGGAUUAUUUGCUGUGGCCGGCCAAUCUGGCAAUAGAAACCAAUGUCACUCGAACAGGAAAUUCUUGCUGGAGCUGGACUGAAAAUCAUUCCAAAGAGGAAGUCCAGCAGGCUGAAAUAAGCCAUAAUCCCAACUAACAUGAGCAGCAAUUAUCUGAUUUCAGCAUCUGCCCUAGUAGUCUGAGGUUUCUGUAGUUCAGUUAAGGAGCCGACAUUCUUUUUUUUUAGGUAGUUAAAGGGAAAGGCAAUAAAAAAUCUGGGCAUUACUGUUCCUAUGUAAACAAUUACUGUCAGGAGCGAGAAGGGGGAGUGAGACCUUCUUUCCUUUAUUUCCUUGUUAUGUUCAUGUUGAAUGGAUGUAGCCUUGAUCAUUACAUCUUUCAUGCACUAGAGGGCACACGAUGCCUAUGAUUUCUGCAAUGUCAACCUUCAGCAAACUUUUAUUGCAUGGGAUCUAAUCUGUGCAUCUUGAAAUUGACUUGGCAUUAAUCAUGCCCCUGAACCGAACCAAAAAAGGGAACGUAAGGAGCAAGACCCUCUUCAUUUUAUUUUAUGCAGGGGAGUGGUCCCAUUGAAUUUUGUGGGGCUUACUCGUGUAAGUAAACGGAGUGGGAUUCAGCUCAGGACUAAUGCAUGGAUUCAUGUCUUUGAAUCUCUGAGUUUUCAUGUGAUAUGAAUUGAUAGAAUACAUUCCCCAGUUCUAGGACACUCCAAGUGUGGAUUAAUCGAGUGGUUCUUUACCUCUUUUAUACUGUGACCACAUGAUAUACCAGGAAGUUUCAAGACACCUGCCCACUGCAUUCCGACUAACCAUAAAGAAAGGAAUGGUGAUGAUAUGCUCAUGGGCCACUAAACCAGGUCACAAUCCCCAGGUGGUGAGGAACCAUGGCUAAGGCAUUCAAGCUAAUUAAACUAACUUAUUAAGAGUCUGCUUUUGUUUGAAUUCUGAAUUUGGUGAACUCACUUAGCUUUGCAAACAUACCAUAAGUUGAAUGGUCGUCUGGGUUGAUCUAGUCAAUACCCGAAGUGCACCAGAAUUUGGGAAUCCUGUUGGAAAUAUAGGAGUGUUAAGAUACUGAACCUGCCUGUAGGUGCAUUCCCUCUCCUUAUUGUAUGAAUGAGGGCCCAAUCCUUCAAGUAAAUCUGCCACUUAGUUGAAUAGGAGUUAAAUCCACACAAGGACUGCAGACCCAUUGUCAAAUAUCUUUGAGUACUGGGGAACGUCUGUCAAACUCCCGUGCCCCCCCCCCCCCCCGUGUAUGAUUUUUAAAUAAAAAUUCUUAAUGGGAAACUUAUCUAU
Molecule: long non-coding RNA, 7219 nt
Organism: Dermochelys coriacea (leatherback sea turtle)
Lineage: Eukaryota; Metazoa; Chordata; Testudines; Dermochelyidae
Exons: 2
Source: RefSeq, a predicted model, not a curated record